RNAcentral lists this transfer RNA (56 nucleotides) under Dipodomys ordii (Ord's kangaroo rat). It matches the Rfam family "tRNA", at positions 1 to 55 of the family's 71-position model. Rfam says of the family: Transfer RNA (tRNA) molecules are approximately 80 nucleotides in length. Their secondary structure includes four short double-helical elements and three loops (D, anti-codon, and T loops). Lineage: Eukaryota; Metazoa; Chordata; Mammalia; Rodentia; Heteromyidae. The record is from Rfam by way of RNAcentral.
GGGAAGUUGGCUCAGUGGUAGAGCGCUUGCCUUGCAUGCCUGAGGCCCUGGGUUCG